RNAcentral lists this ribosomal RNA (467 nucleotides) under uncultured bacterium. RNAcentral's name for it is "partial 16S ribosomal RNA". It matches the Rfam family "Bacterial small subunit ribosomal RNA", at positions 28 to 507 of the family's 1533-position model. The record is from RNAcentral.
GACGAACGCUGGCGGCGUGCUUAACACAUGCAAGUCGAACGGAAAGGCCUCUUUCGGGGGGUACUCGAGUGGCGAACGGGUGAGUAACACGUGAGUAACCUGCCCUUGACUUUGGGAUAACUUCAGGAAACUGGGGCUAAUACCGGAUAGGAGCUCCUGCUGCAUGGUGGGGGUUGGAAAGUUUCGGCGGUUGGGGGUGGACUCGCGGCUUAUCAGCUUGUUGGUGGGGUAGUGGCUUACCAAGGGUUUGACGGGUAGCCGGCCUGAGAGGGUGACCGGCCACAUUGGGACUGAGAUACGGCCCAGACUCCUACGGGAGGCAGCAGUGGGGAAUAUUGCACAAUGGGUGGAAGCCUGAUGCAGCAACGCCGUGUGCGGGAUGACGGCCUUCGGGUUGUAAACCGCUUUCGCUCAUGACGAAGCUUUGUGUGACGGUAGUGGGUAAAGAAGCACCGGCUAACUACGUG